This is a long non-coding RNA of Acipenser ruthenus (sterlet), 502 nucleotides long. RefSeq lists it as uncharacterized. The transcript has 3 exons. NCBI's taxonomy places the organism in Eukaryota, Metazoa, Chordata, Actinopteri, Acipenseriformes, Acipenseridae. The record is from RefSeq and is a predicted model, not a curated record.
GCGAACACUCCCUGCUGCCCUGCUAAUGCCUUGUUAAGAAAGUGUUGAUUCUAUUUUGUGCUACUUUAUUGCCACUAACGCACAGCUAUUAUAUUACAAAGGACUCAGAAGAGGACAAACAACUGUAAAGCUGUGGAAAAUCUCUUCAGGGACGCUUAAUAUCUUCAGGACAGCUUAUAGUUGUCAUGAGCGGUACUUUUAUAUUACAUGCUGCUCACCACGACCCCCAGAUGAUAACCCAAGGACCACAAACCAGAAAAAGGAGCCGGAGGAUGGGAUGCUGUAGCCAGCGAGCCAGCACUUACCCCAGAGCACGCCCCUCAUUGCACAGCACUACACGGCACAGCGCACACACCACAAGCCCCGAAAGAGAAGAGCACAUUUUCGUGCACGGAGGACUGUGGUGACCGGAGUGUCUGUUUGUUUCUUUUGUUUUGAGCCUGGACCCUGCCGUGUUUUUGCCCCAAUACCAUCGCUGGUAGCGGGGCUUCUUAUUAUUUUU